GGGGCCAUAGCUCAGCUGGGAGAGCGCUUCGCUGGCAGCGAAGAGGUCAGGGGUUCGAUUCCCCUUGGCUCCA
Molecule: non-coding RNA, 73 nt
Organism: Labrenzia sp. VG12
Lineage: Bacteria; Pseudomonadati; Pseudomonadota; Alphaproteobacteria; Hyphomicrobiales; Stappiaceae
Source: Rfam